AGGGUUUGAUUAUGGCUCAGGACGAACGCUGGCGGCGUGCCUAACACAUGCAAGUCGAACGGGGUUACACGAGGUGCUUGCACCAUGUGGAACCUAGUGGCGGACGGGUGAGUAACGCGUGAGCAACCUGCCUUUCAGAGGGGGAUAACAACGGGAAACCGUUGCUAAUACCGCAUAAUACCGGAUGAUGGCAUCAUUGACCGGUCAAAGGAGCAAUCCGCUGAAAGAUGGGCUCGCGUCCCAUUAGGUAGUUGGUGGGGUAAAGGCCUACCAAGCCGACGAUGGGUAGCCGGACUGAGAGGUUGAUCGGCCACAUUGGAACUGAGACACGGUCCAA
Molecule: ribosomal RNA, 337 nt
Filed under: uncultured bacterium
Lineage: Bacteria
Description: bacterial SSU rRNA
Rfam family: Bacterial small subunit ribosomal RNA
Source: RNAcentral